This 901-nucleotide small RNA is filed under the name Eremomyces bilateralis. RNAcentral's name for it is "eukaryotic LSU rRNA". It matches the Rfam family "Eukaryotic large subunit ribosomal RNA", at positions 30 to 967 of the family's 3401-position model. The record is from RNAcentral. Lineage: Eukaryota; Fungi; Ascomycota; Dothideomycetes; Eremomycetales; Eremomycetaceae.
UAACUUAAGCAUAUCAAUAAGCGGAGGAAAAGAAACCAACAGGGAUUACCUUAGUAACGGCGAGUGAAGCGGUAACGGCUCAAAUUUGAAAUCUGGCACCCGCCCGAGUUGUAAUUUGCAGAGGAUGCUUCGGCUACGCCCCGGUCCAAGUCCGUUGGAACACGGCGUCGCAGAGGGUGAGAAUCCCGUCGCGACCGGCGGCCCCGCCAUGUGAAGCUCCUUCGACGAGUCGAGUUGUUUGGGAAUGCAGCUCAAAAUGGGAGGUAAAUUUCUUCUAAAGCUAAAUAUUGGCCCGAGACCGAUAGCGCACAAGUAGAGUGAUCGAAAGAUGAAAAGCAUCUUGGAAAGGAAUCGAAACAGCACGUGAAAUUGUUAAAGGGGAAGCGCUAGCGAUGAGACUUAUCGCGGCCGCUCACCGGGGCUUCUGCCCCGGGCACGCGGUCGCGUUGGCCCGCAUCGGUUUGGGCGGCGGGAGAAACGCCAACGGAAUGUGGCCCCCCUCGGGGGGUGUUAUAGCCGUGGUGCAAUACCGCCCGCCCGGACCGAGGCACGCGUUCGCUCGGAUGCGGGCUUAAUCGUCGUUAGCGGCCCGUCUUGAAACACGGACCAAGGAGUCGACCAACUACGCGAGUGUUCGGGUGUUAAGCCCGUGCGCGGAAUGAAAGUGAUCAAGGUGCGACCGUUGUUGCAGCAUCGCCCGGUCCUGAAGUUUACGGAUGGAUCUGAGGAAGAGCGUAGGUGGUCGGACCCGAAAGAUGGUGAACUAUGCCUGAAUAGGGUGAAGUCAGAGGAAACUCUGAUGGAGGCUCGCAGCGGUUCUGACGUGCAAAUCGAUCGUCAAAUCUGGGCAUAGGGGCGAAAGACUAAUCGAACCGUCUAGUAGCUGGGUUCCUGCCGAGUC